GACGAACGCUGGCGGCGUGCUUAACACUUGCAAGUCGAACGGAAAGGCCCUGCUUUUGUGGGGUGCUCGAGUGGCGAACGGGUGAGUAACACGUGAGUAACCUGCCCUUGACUUUGGGAUAACUUCAGGAAACUGGGGCUAAUACCGGAUAGGAGCUCCUGCUGCAUGGUGGGGGUUGGAAAGUUUCGGCGGUUGGGGAUGGACUCGCGGCUUAUCAGCUUGUUGGUGGGGUAGUGGCUUACCAAGGCUUUGACGGGUAGCCGGCCUGAGAGGGUGACCGGCCACAUUGGGAUUGAGAUACGGCCCAGACUCCUACGGGAGGCAGCAGUGGGGAAUAUUGCACAAUGGGCGGAAGCCUGAUGCACCAACGCCGCGUGCGGGAUGACGGCCUUCGGGUUGUAAACCGCUUUCGCCUGUGACGAAGCGUGAGUGACGGUAAUGGGUAAAGAAGCACCGGCUAACUACGUG
Molecule: ribosomal RNA, 468 nt
Filed under: uncultured bacterium
Lineage: Bacteria
Description: partial 16S ribosomal RNA
Rfam family: Bacterial small subunit ribosomal RNA
Source: RNAcentral